CAGUUUCAUCAUAGUAUAAAUAUAAUCAGAAAAUAAAACCAUAGCGAAAAAAGAAAUUUAAAUAGCGGCCUUAUUACAACUUAAAACCCAAAAUUAAAUCAGAAUAUAAAAAUAAUAAAAAUAAACUAACUUAGAAAAACCAACUUUGCAGAUGAUGUGGCCACUCCGAAUCCCUCACAGCUCCAAGCCCACUAUGGUUGGGGAUUUCCUGCAGAGAUGAAAAUAAAGGGUGAGUUCGGUAAACUCAGUGUGUAACAUAGCCCAACCAUAGCCCAAAACAGAUCAAACCUCAGAGUCAGACUUAUCUAGGCCUUGGCCCAAU
RNAcentral lists this long non-coding RNA (322 nucleotides) under Gossypium barbadense (sea-island cotton). Its description in RNAcentral is "long non-coding RNA (GBAR_LNC009066)". The record is from RNAcentral. Lineage: Eukaryota; Viridiplantae; Streptophyta; Magnoliopsida; Malvales; Malvaceae.